Molecule: ribosomal RNA, 460 nt
Filed under: uncultured bacterium
Lineage: Bacteria
Description: bacterial SSU rRNA
Rfam family: Bacterial small subunit ribosomal RNA
Source: RNAcentral
GACGAACGCUGGCGGCGUGCCUAACACAUGCAAGUCGAGCGAGGGGAGUUCUUCGGAACGAACCUAGCGGCGGACGGGUGAGUAACACGUGGGUAACCUGCCUCAAAGAGGGGGAUAGCCUUCCGAAAGGAAGAUUAAUACCGCAUAAUCCAUUGGUUUCGCAUGGAAUCGAUGGUAAAGAUUUAUCGCUUUGAGAUGGACCCGCGGCGCAUUAGCUAGUUGGUGAGGUAACGGCUCACCAAGGCCACGAUGCGUAGCCGACCUGAGAGGGUGAUCGGCCACAUUGGAACUGAGAUACGGUCCAGACUCCUACGGGAGGCAGCAGUGGGGAAUAUUGCACAAUGGGCGCAAGCCUGAUGCAGCAACGCCGCGUGAGUGAUGAAGGUCUUCGGAUUGUAAAGCUCUGUCUUUGGGGACGAUAAUGACGGUACCCAAGGAGGAAGCCACGGCUAACUACGUG